AUGUUCUGUCAAAAAGACUCAUUAUCAUACGUUGUGUGUCCUCGUUUUCUUGAUUUCCUGGAGCUCAAAUAUAGCAUAGGUGGUAAAAUUGAGCAACAAGCAAAGUACAUGGAAUUUAAAAAAAAUGUUCUUAAUCAGUGUCUUAUGUUUCAGGAGCUAGAGGGAGAGGACAUCCACGCAAUUCAUGGGCCUCCAAGGCUGUCAACAAUCCAGAUGAGGAACAUGUGGCCUUUGUUGUGUUGAUUGAUAUUAUGCAGAACCAAUCUGAAGACAGUGGCUUGCCAAGCCAACCUGCUGCUCCCCGUGAAUCUUGGAAGACCCCAUUCAGGAGAACUUUGGAUUGUUUUACAAAAUGCUUUGGGUGACAGCAAUGUCCCAAUCUCUAGCUCUCUUGAUUUCUCCCUUCCAAACUGUCUCCCCUUUCUGAUAAACCAGGAGAAUCCCUAGGUUUUCUAACUUUAAGGUUCUCCCAGGACCAGCUGACCUUCUUCUUUCCUUCAUAGGAAAGGAUAUAAUACAAACACAAAUUCCAUGAUUUGAGACCAUGUAUGUUACAAACACAGACCCUUAAAUAUAAAUAUUCCUCUACUACCACAUUCACCUAAUUUUUACCAUUAUUCUCUUGGUUGUUUUAUAAUAAUGCUGGCAUGCUUGCUUAUUUUUCCCUUCAUCAUAUUUGUAGCAUCUGUUUAAAAUAGGCAGCACCCUCAGGGAUGGAGGUUGUCAGGGUUGGUGGGAGUGGGGAAUUCACUAUAGGGAGAUACCACUUUACUUAGCCCUCUGAGGCUAUACCUCCACCAUCUAGGGGCACUACUGCUUGUUCCUGACUCAUUCAUGGAAUAGAAAACUGUGACCAGUAGGCAGUGAUUUAGUUUUUCAGGAUUCCCCCCCCCCCAUACACACACACACACAGACGUCAGUUCUCAUACUGAGUGGGACUAUUCCAUGAAGGGUUAAGAAGAAAUAAUACCUGUCUACUCAGCUAUCAAUCUUCAGCGCUAUCAUCUAUCUAUCUAUCUAUCUAUCUAUCUAUCUAUCUAUCUAUCAUCUAUCUAUCUCUAUAUGCCGACACCUCAUAUAUAAGGGAGAUGAGCAAUGAUUCAAAAGGAGCAGCGUUAGGAGAGAAGUUGCUUCAGGAUUCUAGAGAAAGUUUACCUUAAACUUUAUUAUUGUAAUGAACUCAUGACCAUCACCACUCCACUGUCAGACAGAAUCCCACCAACAACAUAUCACCCCCAACAUCAGGUUGUUCUUUCUUAUUUGGGAUUUUUUUUCUUCCUCAGCUUCUCUUGAAAGGUAACAGAACAUAACAUUCUCAAGGAAAGAAGAAAAGUUUUGAAGCAUAACUGACCUUAACUUGACAAACUUGGAGGAAGACUCCAGAGAAUUCAUUUGAGUAAUUUUCAAAAUAUUCUAGAGUGAAAAUGUAUUAUUACUUGCUACAUAAAAUUAUUAAAAGGCAUUUAACAACACUUAAUUAGAAGUCUAAGUGAACAUCACAACUUAAAAAAACUUUUAUCAAAGCCUAUGUCUCUCAACUCCACAAGAUAAAAAAGCCAAAACCAUAUGCCACCACAAUCGCAUAUAUAUAUAUAUAUAUAUAUGCCUGUUUUUAUGCCAAUGCCAUACUGUUUUGACUACCGUAGUAGUUAUACAGUUUAUAUAGUAGUGAUAUAGUUUCAAAUCAGGAAGUAUAAUGCUUCCAACCGAGACGUAUAAUGCUUCCAACUUUGUUUUACUUUCUCUAGAUUGCUUUGGCUAUUCAGGACAUUUUGUGAUUCUACAUAAAUUUUAGGAUUGCUUUUUCUAUUUCUAUAAAAAGCCAUUGGGAUUUUGAUACAGACUGGAUGAAUCUGUAGGUUCCUUUGGGCAGCAUGGACAUUUUAACAGUAUUAAAUCUUCUAAUCCAUGACUUCUUCAAUUUUUUCCAUCGACAUCUUAUGGUUUUCUGUGUGUUGGCUUUUUAACUCUGGAUCAAUUUGUUCCUUGGUAUUUUUGAUGCAAUCAUAUUUUGGAUUGUUUCCUUAAUUUCUCUUUCUGAUCAUUUGUUAUUAGUGUGUAGAGGUGCAAAAGAUUACUUUACUUUGAUUCUGUAUCCUGCAGCUUUUUUAAAAUUCAUUUUUUAAUUUUUUUUUGGUGGAGUCUCUAGAGUUCUCAUAUGGAAUAUCACAUCAUUUGCAAAUAAACAGUUCUACUUCUUCCCUUCCCAGUUUGGAUGCCUUCUGCUUAUUUUUUCUUGGCUAACUGCUUUGGUUAAGACUCCUAUUAUGAUAAUGAAUAAAAGGGGGUGAGAGCGAACAUCCUUGUCUUUUUAUGGUCUUAGAAAAUUGCUUUUAGCUUUUCACCAUUGAGCGUGAUGUUAGCUGUGUUCUUGUUAUAUAUGGCCUUCAUUAUGUUGAGACGUAUUCCCUCUAUAGUCACUUCGUUGAGAGUUGUUGCCAUGAAUGGAUGUUGCAUUAUGUCAAGUGCUUUUCCUGCAUCUAUUGGGAUGGUCAUGUGAUUUUUUAUACUUCAUUUUCUUUUCUCUUUUUUUAUUAAGAUUUUAUUUAUUUAUCCCUGAGAGACACAGAGAGAAGCAGAGAGAUAGACAGAGGGAGAAGUAGGCUCCUCACAGGGAGCCCGAUGGGGGACUUGGUCCCGGGCCCGGGAUCAUGCCCUGAGUCAAAGGCAGCCGCUCAACCACUCAGCCACCCAGGCGUCCCUAUACUUCAUUUUCCUAACAUUGUAUCAUAUUGAUUGACUUGUAGAUGCUGAACCAUCCGUGUAUUCCUAGUAUCAAUCCCUCUUGUUUGUGGUAUAUCAUUUCUAGUGUAUUACUGAGUUUGGUUUUCUAAUAUUUUGUUGAUGUAUUUUGCAUCUAUAUUCAUCAAAGAUAUUGGCCUAUAAUUUCCUUUACUUGCGUGUCCUUGUCUGGUUUUGGUGUUAGGAUCAUGCUUGAAUCAUAAAAUGAGUUUUGAAGUGCUCCCUCCUCUUCAAUUUUUUAGGAGUGUUAGGGAAGAAUUAGUUUAUUUCUUCUUGAAAUGCAUGGUAUAAUUUAUCAGUGAAGCCACCUGGCCCUGAACCUGUGUUUGUUGGUAGGUUUUUGACUACUGACUCAUUCUCUUUAGUAGAAAUUGGCCUAUUCAGAUUUUCUAUUACUUCAUGACUCUAUCUUGAUAGGUUGUAUGCUUUGAGAUUUUAAGCAUUUUGUCUAGAUUAUACAAUUUGUUGGUUUAUAAUAGUUCGUGGUGGUCUUGUGAUUCUUUUUAUUUGUGUGCUAACAUUUGUAACAUGUCUCGUUUUUCAUUCAGUAUUUUAUUUCUUGGAACCCUCUCUUUUCUUGGUGAGUCUAGCUAAAUGCUUUUCAAUUAUUUAGUCUUUUUAAAAUAUUAGCCCUAUGUUUAUUGAACUUUUCUAUUGUCUUUUAGUGUCUAUUUCAUUUGUAUCCACUCAUAUUUGAUAUUUCUUUAAUUCUAUAAGUUGUGAGCUUUGUUCUUCUUUCAUAGUUUCUUGAUGUUUAAUGUAGGUUGAUUUGGGGGGAUCCUUCUUAUUUUCCUAGUAUAUAUAUCUAUUGCUAAAAGGUUCCCUCUUAGAACUUGCUGAAUCCCCUCAGUUUUGGUAUGCUGUAUUUACACUUUCAUUUGUCUCAAGAUAUUUUUUAUUUCCCUUUUGAUUUCUGCUUUGACCUAUUGACCAUUCAUAAGCAUGUGGCUUAUUUUCCACAUAUUUGUGAAUUUUCCAGUUUCUAUCCUGUAAUUGUUUUCUAGUUUUUAUCAUUGUAUCCCAAAUAGAUGAUUGAUACAAUUUUAAUCUUUUAAAAUUUCUUAAGAUAUCCUUUUGAUCUAAUAUAUGAUGUAUCUUAGGAAUGUUCCAUAUGUGUUUGAUAAGAAUGUUCGUUCCGCUGCUGUUAUUUAGAAUGUUCCAUAAAUGUCUGUUAAGUCAAUUUGGUGUAAUGUAUAGUUUAAGUGCAUGUUCUGUAAUUGAUUUUCUGUCAGAUCUAUCCACUGUUAAAAGUAAGGUAUUAGCAUUCCCCCAAUAAUUGUAUGCUCUUCUAUUUCUCUCAUCAGUGCUGUUAAUAUUUGCAUUAUAUAUUUGUGUUCAUUUAUGUGCACAAAUAUUUACAUGUAUGACUUCUUGUUAGAUUGACCCAUUUAUCAUUAUAAGUGACCUUUAUUGUCUCUUGUUUUGUCUUUGGCUUACAAUCUAUUUUGUAUUAUAUAAAUAAAGUUAUCCCUGCUUCUUAUUGUUUUCCAUUUGCAUAGAAUAUUAGUCCUUCCUUUUGGUGUGUGUAUGUCCUUAAAGCUGAAGUGAGUCCCUUGUUAGAAACAUAUAGUUGGAUCAUGCCUUUUUAAAAUUCAUUCAGCCACUCUGGUUUUAGAG
This 4359-nucleotide long non-coding RNA is filed under the name Canis lupus familiaris (dog). Its description in RNAcentral is "lncRNA (ENSCAFG00040013193.1)". Lineage: Eukaryota; Metazoa; Chordata; Mammalia; Carnivora; Canidae. The record is from RNAcentral.